GGACUAAACCCGCCUAUUUUUGACCCGCCCGUCUCCCUCCAUACAUAAACCUUGUUAUAUCAUUUCCCACACCCAAACCCUAGAUCUAAAUAACAUUGAAACAACGUUGUUCAUCAUCUUCCUCACUGAGCUCGGUCCUCAACUCGCCUGGAACUCAGGCGAGUUCACUCAAAUGGGACCCCUCCCCUCCACGUCAUUUUAUUCCCAACGGUUUUUGUCAAAGUGGAACGAAUAUUCUCUCCGAAUUUUGCACGAUUUCUGUAUGAUAGAACGAUUUGCUAGAUGAAUGGGAGCCGUGGAUGGAUGUAAAUCGAUCCAUGUCUUCCAUUUGUCCCAAAAAUCAUUAAAAACGUGAAGAUUUUCGGAUAUUUAGGCAGAAACUUCGAGAUUUUUUGAGGGUUAUAUAUAUGAGGUAAGUAUUCUUUUUCAAGGUUAAGGAAAAAUCAGAAAAAUCUAGGGAAAAUUUUCAGAAACUUAGUGAUGGAAUUUCUAGGGUUUUGAAGUUUCUCCCUUCUCUUCACCCCUUUUUCUUUUUCGGUCAGGCAUUUUUUAGAAAACAAAAAAUAUACAAAAACAUAGUUUGAAUUUUGGUUUUAUACAAAAAAUUUUGUUUCAUUUCGAAAGGGAUUAAAGUUUUAUAAAUCUCAGCAUUUUUCUUGGAUCUUUGGUUUUUUCAAGAAUGGUUUGUGAUUGAGUUUGUGGCUGGGAUUUGGAAUUUGGGUGUUGUGGAUUACUGUUCGAGUUUUUUUUUUGCUACAAUCUGGUCUUGGCUGAACUUUGCUGAGCUCCAGAUUAGUCGUGGAAACUCUUGUUGUUCAGAAAAUUAUUUUCUGAUUUUUCUUUGACUAUUGGAGACCAGCUGCUGUUUUCUUCUUGAUCUUGCUCGACCUUUAUUUGGUCUGAUUCUUUCUCUUAUUCUGUUUUCUAGGUAAACAUCUACUACCUCAUGUUGUUGGUUUUAUUGAUGUAUUAAAGAUUGUGAUGAGAUGACAUUGUUUGUUUAUCCGGCAAGAUUGUGUUUAAACUAGCUUGAAUGGUCAUUUGAUUUUAACAAUGGAAGAAUUAAAAAAUGUUCUUGGCUCUGUUGUGUUGUUUCGUGUUUCUAAAACUCAUAGCUACACACACACACUCAUUACAUUUAGUCAUUCAUAUGGUUUUCUAAGGUUAUUGUGUUGAUUUACUGAAAAGUGAGAUGAAGCCUUAUAAUUUUAAGUCGGAUUUUUAAGCUGAUGAAUCUAGAUGGAGGGUCUAAAUUGUUUUACUUCCCUCAUCAAGACAUAACAGAAUAUAUGUGUGUUUGGUUUUAGGUUCGGUUAAUCACUUCUUCUCCCUUUCUUAUCAGCUAUCUCUCCUAUUAGAACCCAUUCAUAUAUAAAAAGGCUCUUGUGUAAUUGUUCUGUUGCAUUUCUUCAUUUCUAUCCCAACCUAUAAUGCAGUCUAAUUUGGUAAAAAUGUAUGUUUAGAGCUGUUGGUAUUUGGAGUUUCCAUAAGAAGUGUACAUGCUAUCCUAUGCCUUUGUUGUCAUAGAUUCUUUUGGACAUUUUACAUGAGACGAGCUGAUCCUGAAUCUAGGUGUGUUCCUUAAAUAGAAAAGUAUCCAGGGGUUGUUUGAAUGUACGUGAUGUAUUAGAUUUUUUUUUAGAAAUUGGUUAUUUUUUGAUUUGGUUAGAUCUUUGCCUUGGCUAUUUCUUGUUUUAAAAGGUUCUAUAAGUUACCUAAAGUAGGUUCAGAAGUAAGAGUAUGUUUGAAUUCAUGUUCUAGCCCUAUGUUAGUUGACAGGUUUUUGCUGAAGAAAUGCAUCAUGUAUAGUUGACAAAUAGCUCCUCCUACUUUGUUUACUGUUGAACACUUUUAGUUUCUUUGUGAAUUGGAAUCCAUGUGUAGUGUCAGGAAAAUGUUGUUUCAUCUAGUAAGUUUGAGAUUGAAAUCAAUUGAAAUAUAUUAAAAAGUGAAGUCCCAGACUAUUUGUUGCUUGUUGCUCAUUGAUUGUGUGUGGAUGUAAGGCCUGUACAAUUUGUUUACGAACGACCCAGAGCAAUAAUUUUUUUGGGCCUCAGCAAUCAUCUUUCUUUUGGCCUGUGUUGGGUUUAAUUGUUUGACUUGCAUCUAGGCUCAAUUCUGAGCCUAAUGAGUGAUAAUGCCCAUCUCAUUUAAAAAAAAACGUGCAUUGAUACACUGGGUCUGCCGUUGGCCCGGUUCCCACCUCGAUCAGUUUAGGCCUGUUUGCUUUGCUUUGCACAUUAAUCAAGGGCUUGAGCCCAAGUUUGGAUGCAAAUAACCUUAUGUUUAAUUAAGUAUAAUCCCUUUAAAAUGGUUGGAGGCGUGCCAUUUUUCAUUAAAAUUACCCAUGCCCUCUUAUUAGCAACACAAAAUUUAGAAGUAAUUAAUUCUUUAAAUACCCGUAGUUUGCUUUAGAUGCGCAAUUAAAUUAUUACGACUAUGUGUACGGUUUCCGUGACGUGGUUGUGAUAAUUAGUUUUAAAUUAGGUUAAAAUAAGAGUACCUUUAGAUUGCCUUUAAAAUAUAUACCCCUUUUCCUAAAAUAAUUUGAGGUGUGCCAUGUUUAAAACUCAUAAUAUAUGACCCUCACAAAUUUAAUUCAAGAGUUUAAUACUUCUAAAAUCGAGGUGUGCCAUCAAUUUAACUCUCCCUGGACCUCACAAUUUUUUUUAUUAAUUUGAACCUUCGUAGUUGCUUUAGGCGCGUUCUUUAAUUAAUUCCAUCAUAGCUAUGGGUGCGGUUCCCGUGACGUAGUUGUGAUUUCUUUUAAAAUUCCAGGUGUACAUUUCAUGUAACCCAAGUUCAAUUCCUCAACAAUGUUAAAUGAAACUUGUUGCGAACCGCGGGUGCAUUUCAUGUAGCGUGGUUCAACGUGUGUUUUAAAUAACGUUGAAUCUUCCUAAAAUUGUUUUAAAAUAAUUAAAAGCAGUUCUAAAGCUAAUAAUGCACAAUAGGUUAAAAAAUGUAGUAAAUCAGAUAAUAGGCCAAUUUUAAUAGUUUAAGCGACCGUGCUCGAACCACGGAACCCGGGAAUGCCUAACACCUUCUCCCGGGUUAACAGAAUUCCUUAUCUAGAAUUUCAGGUUUCACAGACUUUUUUUGAUAAAAUCGAAUUUUCCUCGAUUUGGGAUUUAGAAUAAACUGGUGACUUGGGACACCCUAAAUUAAUCCAAGUAGCGACUCUGUAAUAAAUAAAUAAUCCCAUUUCGAAUAAUGUCACUUUAAUUGGAAAAACUCCCUUAUGUACCCUCGGGUGUAAAAAAGGAGGUGUGACAGCUCUGGCGACUCUGCUGGGGAUUUAAACCCAGAACUUUGGUUCAGGGUUCAAGAAUUCGAGCUUAGAAUAACUGUUAUAUUUGGCCUAUUUUUAUCUGAUUUUUACAUGUUGAGCCUAAUGUGCUAAAUGCUGCUUUUUACCGCUUUGAUAUUGUUUGGACUGUAUAUAAAUUGCUACGAAACCCUCUUCUCUCUGAGUCUUCUAAAUCAUCUAGUAAGUGUACACUUCAUGUAACUUCUUUUUUGUUAGAGUCAUAUCCCAAUUUUAGAACGAGGUUCGGAUAAGUUGCAAAGCCGGUGAAGCUUUUGUAUUCCCGGUACGUUGCCGCUCUCGGCUCUAGUUGUCCGCUCGAGUAAGCCAGGUCUAGAACAAUACACCCAAGUUUUUAAACCUAAUAUAACAAAGCCUCAUGCCGGAUCCCUAGUAGGAACGCUUGUUUGCAUCACGUGCAUUUGACUUUGGAGACUUAACAUAUGGGUUGGGUCUGUCUAGGACAUGUGUACCUGAAAUGAAAAGAGCAUCCUGAUGUAUUCUACCUGCGACUUGUGCAUUUAUUUGCUUUGGAUUGCAUGUUGACCGGCUUAUGAAUAAUGGAGAAAAGUUGGGAAAAUNNNNNNNNNNNNNNNNNNNNNNNNNNNNNNNNNNNNNNNNNNNNNNNNNNNNNNNNNNNNNNNNNNNNNNNNNNNNNNNNNNNNNNNNNNNNNNNNNNNNNNNNNNNNNNNNNNNNNNNNNNNNNNNNNNNNNNNNNNNNNNNNNNNNNNNNNNNNNNNNNNNNNNNNNNNNNNNNNNNNNNNNNNNNNNNNNNNNNNNNNNNNNNNNNNNNNNNNNNNNNNNNNNNNNNNNNNNNNNNNNNNNNNNNNNNNNNNNNNNNNNNNNNNNNNNNNNNNNNNNNNNNNNNNNNNNNNNNNNNNNNNNNNNNNNNNNNNNNNNNNNNNNNNNNNNNNNNNNNNNNNNNNNNNNNNNNNNNNNNNNNNNNNNNNNNNNNNNNNNNNNNNNNNNNNNNNNNNNNNNNNNNNNNNNNNNNNNNNNNNNNNNNNNNNNNNNNNNNNNNNNNNNNNNNNNNNNNNNNNNNNNNNNNNNNNNNNNNNNNNNNNNNNNNNNNNNNNNNNNNNNNNNNNNNNNNNNNNNNNNNNNNNNNNNNNNNNNNNNNNNNNNNNNNNNNNNNNNNNNNNNNNCGUGCAUUUGACUUUGGAGACUUAACAUAUGGGUUGGGUCUGUCUAGGACAUGUGUACCUGAAAUGAAAAGAGCAUCCUGAUGUAUUCUACCUGCGACUUGUGCAUUUAUUUGCUUUGGAUUGCAUGUUGACCGGCUUAUGAAUAAUGGAGAAAAGUUGGGAAAAUCAAUUUGAAGGCUGAGAGAAAUACUUACCUGUGUUUGAAAAACCCGGUAUCCAAAAGGUACCAAAACUAUGCCGAACUUUUGAAAAAAAAAAGAAAAUUUGUUUCAAGAAAAAAUAUUUGGUAUGGUUUUUAUUAUGUCAAAACUGCCCAAACUACCCAAGUUUGAUUCUCACCGGAUGUGGUAUACGUAGGCAACCCUCACCAGGUCCAACUCCGUUUUUGCAAAAAUAACCCAAAAAGAACAAAAAUUUUGUUUGUUUUGUCAUAAAUAAAUUAGGUAAUGUCGUUCUUGUCUAAAUGGCCAAAACAUUCCCAAAAGGACGCCGGAAGUCUGCUUUUGCAAGAAUAGCCACAUUCGGUUCCUUUUUCAAAUAUUUGCCAAUUAACAACAUAGCCCUAAAAUCUUCUUCCUUGAGGUGCUGAAGGGUCGUAUUUACAAAGGCGUUCCUUGUUUUGAAAUGAAUUUUUUUUGAAAACUAAUAACUUUUUCUUAAGUCAAAAUAAACCAUGAUCUUUUAACCAAUCACUCUAAUAAAUGUGCAGGAUGAGCACAAUUGAAAAUGAACCCUUUACAGUCCUUGAAGAAAUCCCAUUAGGACUCCACAUGUGGUGGAAUGACUUACAAAAAGUCAGCAGAGUUACUGUGGUAAAAGUUUUGGGCGGUCUUGUUGGUCUUCUGAAAAUCAAACCGAGGUUGGAUAUGAUUGAGGCUUUGAUAUCUUUUUGGGACCCGGCGCAUAGUGUAUUCCAUUUUUCUAAUAUUGAGCUAACCCUCAUGCUUGAGGAAAUAGCGGGCUAUGCCGGUCUUAAUGGGAAUCUCAGAAGUCGGUACCCAGUAGCACCAAGAACAGUGACUCCUCAUAAGUUUUUGGACCUGCUGAGCAUCAGUCGGGAGGUUCAAGAUGGAAAUCUAUCUGAAGGGUUUUGCACAUUCUACUUCUUGUACCAGCGUUAUGGCAAUCCCCAUGGUUUUAAGGCACCAGAUACUGGCCUAACUCAUUCAGGAAACAAAGGUAAAUGGGAAGCAUGGCGGGGACUGGCUUUUAUAGUGGCAUUCUUGGGUAUUUUAAUUUGUCCAAUAAAACAUGGAAACAUAGAAUUGGGUCUUGUAGGAAUGGCCAACGUCAUGAUUCAGAAAGCUAAUGGCACCCUCGUUCCAAUGAUCUUAGCGGAGAUUUACCGAGCUUUAACUAUCUGCCGAGAAGGGGAAAAAAUUUUCAAGGGCUGUAACAUGCUCCUACAACUUUGGAUACAAGAACAUUUUUGUCACUGCUUGGAGUACAUGAACUAUGACAUGACUGAUUUGAAUUGCAUCAAAGAAUAUGAAAACCGAGUGGUGGGUUGUGAAUUUCCAAAAGGUAUAGAGGCUUGGUUUGCGCAUUUGAGUUCUUUAACUUCGGACAAAAUUGAGUGGACUUUCAGUUGACUCCCUGUCACUGAAGUCAUUUACAUGUCAGCUGAGGUGUGUUAUCUUCUCUUAAUGGGUCUCCAGAUCAUUCAGCCAUACGCUCCACACAGGGUGCUGCGCUAACUAGGCAGGUUCCAAACUAUCCCACAUGACAAAGAUCUGAGCUGACAAGUCAUCGAAUUGGGUCCGAAAGCGGUAUUCCCAGAAGAAAAAGUUCAUUAGAUUUGGAAUAAGUGUAGAUUUCUAGAGCCAAAGACUCGGGUGAGGGAUCUAUCUAAAGGCGAGUUAGACCCUAAUUACAUGACUUAGUUUGGUAAAAGGUUUCAAGUCCCUCAGGAGCCCGAACAGCCUGCUAAAAGACCCCAUGUCCAGCAAUUCACUGACGAUUCGCAGAAGCAAUGAGAUUGGUUAGCAAAAGAGGCAAGCUAUAGGAUCAAGAUAAGCAAAUUGGAGGGACAAAUCAGGGAUCUCAAAUUUGACAAUAGUGUACAAGCCGCUGCUGAUGAAGGGAAAAAGAAGAAACUGGCUCAAGAAAACAAAGCCCUUCGAGCCCAGAUCCAAAAAGUGAAGAUAGCUACGGAGAAUCAGGAAAGAAGCCAAGCAGAUGAAAGGCUCAUAAAAGGUCUUAGAAGGAAAGUAUCUGAAUGUCAGGAUGAAAAUCCGAGGUUAAUCUAGCAAGAGCCCGAGCACAACUGACAAAGAACAUAGAGGGACGGGCGGAGCUUGUAUGGCAAUUGAAAAGGAAAUAUGAGGGAAUAGUCACAAAUUUGAAGAAAAGGCUAACUACCCUCGAAAAUGAGAUGGCCAAACAAGCUAAGAACUUUAAAGCAGAAAGAGAACAUUGAUAUGCCUUAAUGUCCCAGCUAGAGAAAGAUAUGCAACAGCUACAGGGUCAAAACCAUCAUGACACCCAAGUGCUAGAAGCUAGGUCUCAGCAAAUCGGGUGUUUGCUCCAAGAAAAGGGUAUCAUCAGGGAAAGGGUUAGAGCAAUUGCUGUUACAUUGUCAUGAAGUGCCAUGAAUGUGAAGACAUGACUAGAACCACCUUCUUUGCUGUGGUAAUGACCUUUGUUCGCCAAAUAAUGAGUAACCUGGAGCGUCCUCAAGGGGAUCUUGCACAUAGGCCCGUGGCAAGACCGACUGACGUCCCACGUGCCCCUAGAUUAGAAGCACUUAUGUACUGUUGAUUUUUAUUUUUGAGUAUGUACUUCAGUUUUUAGUUUUAAAAUAUGUUUCGAGUUUGUUUGUAGUUUUAAAUUCCUAGAAAGAGUAUGGUGGAGUCUUUUGUAAUAGAGAACAGUAGAGUUUUUGUUAAUGAAAAAUUGGAAAAUCCCAAAAAUUGUUUCCCUAUUUUUUGCAUUUAUUUCUUAAACUACGUGAUGAUCUGAUUCACGCGGCGUCGUGAUACGUAGGCAAUCCUCAUCGGAUCCGGUCAUGAUUUUUGUAAAUAACUCAAGUAAAAAAGGAAUGUGGAAAAGAGAAAGCCAAAAAAAGAAGAAAAUAAGAGUGCAAAAGAGCAAGAGAGAAGAUCGGGGAGAUAAACAAAAGCUGGGAUGAGACAUGCAAUCGUUGCAAAACAUGUAGAAACACAUUUAACUGUAUAGGUGCAUCACACCCCAAUGUGCAAUUCCCUAUGUGUUAAUUGCUUCAAACUAACCAGUUUAUUGUCUGUUAUUGAGUAUAGGUUCUAUUUUUAAGGUGGUUGGUUUAUGGUAACCUGGCUUCACACCCGUACUUCACAAGAUCAAAGGGCAGUGUAGAAAUGUCAUCAGAAGGUCGUCCACCAACGAUUCCCAUCUUAGAGGAUAGCCCACUAUCGAUUAUCCCAACCUCAGAGUCAGCGGAAGCUGAAGAGAAUAUGGCACUAUGCCUCCACGUGCUAGAAAUGUGGGACGCCUGGUCUAAUGGUAGAGAGCCGCCGAGUUCCAUACCCGGUUUCCCCGAGUUACUUCCUAGAGCAAGUGGAAAUUCCAAUGUCCCAAUAAAUUACCCAAAUACCCCACUUGGAUACCCCACCAUCUCAGCUCACUUCACCGAAACACCUUCUGAGGUUCGCCCCCAGAUGGUUUCAGGAGUGGCCUCCAACAUAUUUACCGCACCACCAACAUCAGCUGCGGUGCAACCCACUUUGCCCAGGCCAAGCUUUGAUCCAUCGUCUUUCACCUUCCAAGUACCAUCUUUUCCACCAGAAUCUACCCAGAUCACUACCAAUUCUUACCCUUAACAACCCUGGUACGAGUUUGUCGCGGGAUAGGAGAAGGCUACAAAGAACCUCGAGCAAGAGGAAAUUACCCGAAAAAUAAGGAGCAUGGAACAGAGCCUCAAGAAUAUACAAGGUUUGAGCGGACAAAAGAGUUUGUCCUACGCUGAUCUAUGCAUGUUCCCGCAUGUGCAUUUGCCCCUGGGUUUCAAGACCCCAAAGUUCGAAAAGUAUGACGGGAACGGGGAUCCCAUAGCCCAUAUCAAGAGGUACUGCAAUUAACUGCGAGGGGCAGGCAGAAAAAAAGAGCUACUAAUAGCUUAUUUCGGAGAGAGUCUGGUCGGCAUUGUAUCUGAGUGGUACAUGGACCAAGACAUGUCUCGUUGUCACAUUUGGGACAAUCUAGCUAGAGAUUUUGUCAGGCAAUUUCAGUAUAACAUAGAUAUAGCUCCCAACAGGAAUUCUCUAUCGAAUCUCAAGAAGAAGUCCUCAGAAAGUUUUUGAUAAUAUGUUGUUAAAUGGCGCGAACAAGCGACCAGGGUCAAACCUCUGAUGGAUGAAACAGAAAUGGUGAGUGUCUUUCUACAAGCCCAAGAGGCUGACUACUUCCAGAAUAUGAUGUCUGCAAUGGGGAAACCGUUUGCUGAGGCCAUCAAGAUUGGUGAGAUGGUCGAGAAUAGUCUAAAAACAGGGCGCAUACUAAGCCAAUCUGCCAUAAGAUCUACAUCCCAAGCAAUUCAAGGUGGGUCCGGGGGCGUAGCAAAUAGAAAGAAGAAAGAAGAGGUGGCAAUGGCAGCUUUAAGUCUGAGAAACCCCCGUCCACCCAGAGGUUACUUCCCUCCAAACACCCCACCACAUUAUUAUCCUCAUCAGGAUGUGGCUUAUGCUAUGGCUCCUCAGCCGUACACAAUAAUGAAUGCCCAGCCAUACGCUUGUCCACAACAACAGUUCAACCAAAAUCGAGCUCCAUUUCCUAGAAACAACCCUCCUCACCAAGCUUAGUAUAAUCCCCGGCCUCUACAAAAUAAUUUCCCCUUCAAUGCCCGUGCUCGGGAGCCACCCAGAAGAACAAACUUCACGCCUAUUGGUGAGUCAUACUCUAUCCUUUUCCCUAAACUGGUCCAAAUGGGUCUAUUGCAACCCGUACCCCAGACCAGGCAAAAUCCAAAGUCGCAAUCCUACAGAAUCGGUACUCGAUGUGCUUACCAUUCGGUAGCGGAAGGGCAUGACACUAAAGACUAUUGGACUCUGAAAAGGGUUGUUGAAAAUCUCAUAGAGCAGAAAUGGAUAGUGCUAAAGGAUGAAGAAAUUCCUAAUGUGACCAACAACCCAUUACCGGCUCACAACAACGGACCAGUUAUUGGAAUGAUUUGCAAAGAUAAAGAGUUUGAUCCCGCUUUGAAAGCCAUCAUUGCGAUUGUUGAUGUCGAGAAGAAGCCAAAGGUUGCUGCAAAGCAAGACAAGGGGGAGAAUAAGAGUAAACCCACCCCUCAAAAUAUAGAAAAGACAGUGGAAACCAAAAGUGGGGCAGUACCUCAAAAAGAUGUCAUUCUUUAUGUUCCCCGGGGUCACAGGAAAGAACAAAUGACAUUGAGCCCUCCAAGAAGGUUCGAGCUGAAUAAGGGAUCUAAGAUAUAUGUGCCUAAAGGGACUUAUGUGGUACGUGGGCUAGUAAUUUCACCAAGGCUGAAUGAGCCCGUGGUUAUUGGUCGCGCACCGCAAAAGCCCAUGACAGACCCUGCUGCCGUCCCAUGGAAUUACAACAAGCCGGUAGUAACCAACAAAGGAAAGGGGGUCCUGGGAGAAGCAAAUGAAACUAACCCAGUCGAGAAAUACCUCAAUCUGGAGGAAGUAAAGAGAGCCAAACAAAAACACUUCCGAUCAGAAAUCCAAUUAGUGCCAAAGAAGAAGAAGAGUUCUUCCGUAAAAUGUAAACUAUGGAGUAUGAGGUAAUAGACCAACUCUGAAAGUAUCCUUCACAGGUCUCACUCUUGUCUCUACUGGUAAGCUCAACUGAGCAUCAGAAAGUGUUGAUAAAGACCCUCAACAAAGCUUAUGUUCCAAUUGAAACCACUGUCGAGCAACUGGAGAAGAGGCGGAAAGAUUCUUCGUAGUUAAUCAAAUUUCCUUUAGCAAGAAUGAUUUGCCCCCGGAAGGGGUCGCCCACAACAAAGACCUCCAUCUGAAAGUUAAAUGUGAGGGGUACUAUGUGAAGAGAGUCAUGCUGGAUGGCGGAUCCGGAGUUGAUAUCUACCCUCUCUCAACUUUGCAAGAAUGGAGAUUGGGACUGAGAGAAUCAGGCCUAACAAUGUCUAUGUGCGUGCCUUUGAUGGCAUCAAGAGAGAUACCAUAGGUGAGAUUGACUUGAUCUUGACUAUUGGUCCUGUGGAUUUCGAGGUGAUCUUUUAGGUCCUAGACAUAGACACUUCCUAUAAUUUCCUCUUGGGAAGACCUUGGAUUCAUGCGGCAGGGGCCAUACCUUCCACUCUCCACCAGAUGGCAAAAUUUGAAUAUGAAGACCAGGAAAUUGUGGUUCAUGGAGAAGAUGAGCAGUCAAUUUACCGGGACCCAUCAGUCUCAUGUCUCAAAGCCAGGGAAGGUAGCGAGCAUAUAGUUUAUUAAGCUUUUGAGGUGGUGGUCGCAGAUCAAUGUGAGGAGGGAAACCCUUGUCCUUAGCCUUUUCUGUCAAAUUCAUCCAUCAUGGUCAUUGUUGAAAUGAUCAAGCAUGGUUAUAAACCUGGGAAGGGACUCAGGCAUCAUUGCAAGGUAUCAUAGAACCUAUCACUCUACCUGCCAAAGAAGUUCUUCGGUAUGGGUUUUCGUUCCACAGAAGCUGAUGUGACAUUGGCAAAUGAGUGAAAGAGCAAUGGUUCGGUUUUACCUCAGCUGGUUCCACACCUCUACAAAACAUUCGUCCAGCCCAAGUACAAUGAAGAAGAAGAAGAUGAGGCCUUCACGGCCGAGAAAAUUGAAGAAAUAUGUGGGAGCUAUGAGGCAAAUGUUGUAUGAAACCUACAUGGUUUAUCCAGGAGAAGGCUCGAGCACCGCUGAGGUGCUGUAUAUGGGGCCCAAUGCCAAGUUACAAAACUGGAAGGCUACUCCAUUCCCAAUCAGGCGGGAAUCCCGAUAGUCCAGUCUUGCGACCUUUUCUACAUCACGAGUUAUUUCAGGGUGUAACUCGGAUGUUUCUUUUAGUUUAUUGUCUUUAAAUUCCAAUGUAAACCUUGUUAUCUUCAAAAUUCAAUGAAAUAAAAUCAAUAUUUCAUCGUUCAACUCUCUUUAUUCUUUCUGAUUUUUGUUAAUUUUUCUUAUUUCUUCUUUCAGUCCUAAUAACGCGGCUUUAAAUAAUGUGACAUGCUUGCGGACUUCAUGCACAGAUCCAAACACGUUAUCUCAUUGUGAAAUAAUGAAUCAAGAACUGGAAUACGAUGAAAAAGAGGCUUUUAGGGAAAUAAAUCAAGAAUUGGAACAAUUCGAGAAUAAACCUAAGCCAAACUUAAAUGAAACCGAGCCGGUUAAUUUGGGUAGUUCUGAAGAGGUCCAAGAAACCAUGAUGAGCAUUCACACAGAUGAAAGAACUAGGGAUGCCCUGAUCCAACUUUUGUUUGAAUUCAAAGAUGUGUUUGUGUGGUCCUACGAUGACAUUCCAGGAUUAAGUGUUGAUCUAGUGGUACACAAAUUGCUGACUUACCCCGAUUAUCCCCCUAUCCAGCAAAAACAAAGGAAAUUCAAAACUGAUAUCAACGACAAGAUCAAAGAGGAAGUCACCAAACAGUUGAAGGCAGGGGUGAUCCGAGUGGUCCGAUACACCACAUGGUUGGCCAAUGUGGUUCCCGUGCCAAAGAAAGAUGGGAAAAGUCGAGUGUGUGUUGAAUACUGAGAUCUGAAUAAAGCAAGUCCCAAGGACAACUUCCCUUUGCCAAACAUCCAUAUCCUUAUUGAUAACUGUGCCAAACAUGAGAUACAAUAUUUCGUGGAUUGUUAUGCAGGAUAUCAUCAGGUGUUGAUGGAUGAAGAGGAUACGAAAAAGAUAGCCUUCACCACUCCCUGGGGUACCUAUUAUUACAGGGUCAUGCCUUUUGGUUUGAAGAACAUCGGGGCAACUUAUAUGAGGGUCAUGACUGCCAUCUUUCACGACAUGAUGCACCAAGAAAUCGAGGUGUAUGUGGACGAUGUGAUCAUCAAAUCCAGAACACAGGACGACCAUGUUUGGACCUAAAAAAGUUUUUUGAGCAGCUGCACAAGUAUGAUUUGAAGCUAAAUCUGGCUAAAUGUGCAUUUGGGGUUCCGUCUGGCAAACUCUUAGGAUUUAUAGUCAGUCGGAGGGGCAUUGAGUUAGAUCCAACGAAAAUAAAGUCUAUUCAGGAUUUGCCUCCUCCGAAAACUAAGAAAGACGUUAUGAGCCUGCUGGGAAGGUUGAAUUACAUCAGCCGGUUCAUUGCUCAGUUGACUUCCACCUGUGAGCCUAUAUUCAAACUGUUGAAGAAAGAUGCGGCGAUUAAAUGGAUAGAUGAGUGUCAAGAAGUUGUCGACAAAAUCAAAGACCCGCCAGUCUUGGUCCCACCCGAACCUGGAAGGCCUUUGUUUUUGUAUCUAACAGUCUUGGAGAAUUCUUUCGGCUGUGUCCUGGGGCAACUGAUGUGACCAAGAAGAAAGAGCAGGCAAUCUACUAUUUGAGUAAGAAGUUCACAAGUUAUGAGGCCAAAUAUAUCUUGUUGGAAAGGAUUUGGUGUGCCUUAACUUAGGUCGCUCAGAAGCUUAGACAUUACCUGUUGGCCUAUACCACUUACCUCAUCACCAGGUUAGAUCCUUUAAAGUACAUAUUCCAGAAACCGAUGCCCACAGGGAGGUUAGCAAAAUGGUAGAUUCUGUUCACAGAAUUUGACAUAGUUUAUGUCACCUGUAUGGCAAUGAAAGCCCAGGCUUUAACAGAUCACCUAGCCGAAAACCCUAUUGAUGAUGAGUAUCAGCCUUUGAGUACUUACUUUCCGGACGAGGAGGUGAAUUCAGUUGAGGUAACAUCAGAAGAUACCAAUACUUGGAAAAUGUUCUUCGAUGGAGCCGUGAACGCAAAAGGUGUUGGGAUUGGGGUAUUUUUUAUCUCACCCCUGGUCAACACUAUCCAGCCAUAUCCUGGCUUCGGUUUUUCUGCACAAAAAAAAAACUUCCGAGUAUGAAGCCUGCAUUAUGGAUAUGAAUAUGGCAAUCGACCAAGAUGUUGAGGAACUAUUGAUCAUGGGGGAUUCAGACUUGAUUAUCCGACAAGCUCAGGGUGAAUGGGAAACUCGGGAUGUCAAGCUUAUUCCAUAAAGGCAACAUAUGGAAGAUCUUAGCAAGCGGUUCAAGUCAGUCGAGUUUAGGUACAUCCCUCGUUUUCACAAUGAAUUGGCUGAUGCACUCGCUACUUUGGCCUUGAUGUUGUCGUAUCCAGGCAAUCUCCACAUUGAACCGUUGGAAAUCCAAAUCCGAAAAAGGCAGGGUUACUGCAAUACGAUUGAGGCAGAACCGGAUGUUCAGCCAUGGCAUCAUGAUAUCAAGAGAUUUCUUAAAACUAAAGAAUAUCCUGAUCAAGCCAGUGGAGACCAAAAGAGAACCAUUAGACGGCUUGCAAGCAAUUUCUUCUUGAGCGGUGAGGUCUUGUACAAAAGGACUCCAGAUCUCAACUUGUUAAGUUGUGUUGACGCCGAAGAGGCCAGAAGAAUCAUGUAUGAAGUUCACGCAGGAGUAUGGACCCUACAUGAAUGGAUACGUCUUGGAAAAUAAAAUCCUUCGAGCAGGCUAUUACUGGAUGACUAUGGAAAAAGAUUGCUUCAAUUUUAUCCAGAAAUGUCAUCAGUGUCAGGUACACGGUGACAUGAUUCAUGUGCCGCCUACAGAAGUGCAUCCUAUGUCAGCACCAUAGCCGUUCGUUGCUUGGGGUAUGGACGUCAUUGGGUCGAUCGAGCCAAAAGCUUCAAAUGGGCAUAGAUUCAUAUUGGUCGCCAUCGACUACUUCACAAAGUGGGUUGAAACAAUUACUCUCAAAGCUGUCACUAAGAAAGAUGUGGUAGACUUCGUGCACUCCAAUAUCCUCUGCCGUUUUGGUAUUCCUGCAACUAUCAUUACGAAUAAUGCUGAAAACUUGAAUAGUCACUUGAUGAGGGAGAUAUGUGAGCAGUUUAAGAUCACGCAUCGAAAUUCUACCCCUUAUCGGCCCAAAGCCAAUGGUACUGUUGAAGCAGCAAACAAGAACAUCAAGAAGAUUCUGAGAAAGAUGAUCCAAAGUUCCAGGAAAUGGCAUGAAAAGUUGUCGUUUGCAUUGUUGGGAUAUCGCACAACUGUGCGCACAUCAGUCGGAGCAACCCCAUAGCUUUUGGUAUAUGGCACUGAAGCCGUGAUACCCGCAGAAGUUAAAAUCCCUUCUCUUCGAAUCAUUGUUGAAGCUGAAAUUGAGGACAGUGAAUGGGUAAAAACCCGUCUGGAACAGUUAACCCUGAUCAAUAAAAAGCAAAUGGCCACAUUCUGCCAUGGGUAGUUGUAUCAACAAAGAAUGGCCCGUGCCUACAACAAGAAAGUGCGGCCUAGGAACUUCGAAGUGGGGCAACUCAUUUUGAGGCUUAUUCUCCCUCACCACCAGGAAGCAAAAGGAAAGUUCACUCCUAACUGGAAGGGCCCAUAUAUUAUCAGAAAAUUAUUGCCAAAAGGGUCGUUAUACCUGGGAGACAUCGAAGGAAAUGACCCCGAAACAGCUGUAAAUGCAGACGCAGUCAAAAGAUAUUAUUUCUAGUCUUUCUACAGCACUGAUACUAUCCGAUUGGGAAGACGAAGUCUUUCAUUCUCGCUACCCCAAACACUCCAAUCCUUUGCUAACCCUUUGAGCCAGUUACCUUUCCUUCAUUACCCUCUUUGGAACUUGAAAACGUUUGUAAAAAAAUAAAAUCAAAUCAAUAUCAGAAAUCAACAAAUCAACAAAAGAAAAACAAAACAAAAGUUUUCCCUGAACUACGUUUGACUUGAUUCUGAAAGGAUACGUAGGCAGCCUAUCUCUAGGGUUCAGUCAUACCAAAAUAAAAAUUCAAUUUCCCCUCAAAAGUGAAACUAGGGCAGAUGUUAUAAUGGUUCGAUGAUAGUUCGCCAGAAAAGUUCCAAAGUUAUAAUUUGAUCCAAACUCUUUUUACCCUAAAUCCCGUUCAAGUUCUUCUGAUCAAGAGAUAGGACGUUCAAGACUUGGAGAAUGUGGUUGCUUGGAUCUGAUACAAACAAAUAAGAGAAAUAAAAUGAGAGAGUUUUAUUGGUGAAAACCCACACGGACACCGUAAGAUGAUGGAAAGCAAAGAAAUUAAAAAAAUGAGAGAGUUUUGUUAGUGAAAACUCGUAAAGAGCAUUAUAAGGCGACGAUGAGAAGAGAAAUGAGAGAGGUCAAUUGGCGAAAACCCGCAAAGGGCACCGUUGAUCAAAAAGAAGAAAUCCCUUACAACCAUUGGCACUAAAAGAGUCCUGGAAGGUUUCUCGGUUUUAAAACACGGGUCAUAAUGGGUUUAUGAGAAUUUGGAUAGUUGCGCUGAUCGGGUAUCCAGUCCAAGAAGCAUGUCAUGUCUAUUGAAGUCUGCAUGCACUCCAGAUAAGUCCUUCUUUCUCUCCCCCGAAAGGGAUGCUUCUCGUUAAAUUCAUUAUCCUGUCCUUUGUUUACUUUUCUUUAAGUCCCUUUCGGUCUAAUCCCUCUUCGAAACUGAUACAAAGAAAAGAUAGCAAGACUGGUUGUACAGGGUUCUACUUAACAAAAGCCAAAUUCAAAGAAAAGCACCCAGCCUCAGCAGGUGCAUCAAGUCGAUCUCGACUGGCCAUGAUGGUCGAUGCUCCAGGUUCAAAUUCAUUGAAAAGGGAAAGAAAUCCAAAGUCAAAUGUCCAUAAAGGCGAAAUAAGAGGAAAAGGCCAAAACCCUACACAGGUUGAACCAUCGUAUUGAAAAUUUUAGAAAGUCAAAAUCCCUAGUUUUAGAAGAGAGAUCGAUCUCCAGAAAGCCAGCAGGCAACAGAGAUGUUCAUCGAAAGAGUUGGGUCGAGAUCAAGUGAUCAAAACAAUCAAGGCCACAAAACUAACUACCAAUUCAAACUAACAAUUGUUCUUUGUUUGAAAACAUGAAACAGGAGCAAUGCAAAGCAACCUUGCAAGAAACGGGUGUAACAAGACACUACGCAAGUACUAAAAACAGCUUUGCAGCAACGAUCCAGAAAGGGAAGUCCCCUCCAAAUUCUUUCCCGCAUUUACUCAUUCCAUGAAAUAAAGGAAGAAACAAAAUGAAAAAAAAAGAGAUAAGAAGAAAAUUCAAAAUAAUGGUAGCCUAGGAUCCCCAAUAUCUAAUUAUGUUUUUCCAACAUAGGAUCUCCACUCCCUAGUUGAUUUUGUUUUAGACAUAAGGUCUCCACUCCCUAGUCAAUUUCCCAACAUAGGGUCUUCACUCCCUAGUUGAAGUUAUUUUAGACAUAGGUCUCCACUCCAUAGUCGCUUUUCCAACAUAGGGUCUCCACUCCCUAGUUUAGUUUAUUUUAGACAUAGGGUCUCCACUCCCUAGUCGCCUUUCCAACAUAGGGCCUCCACUCNNNNNNNNNNNNNNNNNNNNNNNNNNNNNNNNNNNNNNNNNNNNNNNNNNNNNNNNNNNNNNNNNNNNNNNNNNNNNNNNNNNNNNNNNNNNNNNNNNNNNNNNNNNNNNNNNNNNNNNNNNNNNNNNNNAAGUCGCCUUUCCAACAUAGGGUCUCCACUCCCUAGUUGAUUUUAUUUUUAGACAUCGGGUCUCUACUCCCUAGUCACCUUUCAAACAUAGGGUCUCCACUCCCUAGUCGCCUUUCCAACAUAGGGUCUCCACUCCCUAGCUUAGUUUAUUUUUAGAUAGUAGGUAGAUGUUUUUCCAACAUAGGAUCUCCACUCUAUGGUUGAUUUUAGUAUAGAUAUAGGGCUCCACUCCCUAAUCUCUUCUUCCCAAGGAUACACAAUCCUUAUUUUAUUUGCUUUCAAAUAAAGAAAUAGUUUAGAUUUUGUUACAAUAACUCACGAAAUUUUCCUAGUGAAAACUAGGGCAGAAAAACUUCAUUCGUUUAUUUGCUUUGGUGCCUGAACAGGUUUUUACCGUGGGGCACAAGGUUUGAGAUGACCAAAAUAAGAAGUCUCAACCCAAAUAAAAGAAAAGAAGUUGAAUUCAAGAUGCAGAAGCGGAGAAAAGAUGUGGACUACUCAAAUUUGAUUGAAGUCACAAGCUUCGCAUGUCCCGCCGUGAUCUGAAAAGCUGAAGAAGAAUGAACCAACAGUUGCAACUAACGAGCGUCAAGAUUCAAACCAGAGUUUACAGGAAGAAUCAUCCAAGAUUCAAGAUCAAGUUUUAGAAGGUUUAUAGAUAAGAAUCUUGUAACUCGUAGUUGAUAGACUUAGCUAGCUUAGCUUCUUAUCUUUCAUUUUGGUGUAAUAAGGAGCUCAACAAGCAAAAACAACAGCAACAACAGUGAAAUCACAGUUCCCUAUUAGUCCCAGCUACCAAAACUUCCAGAACUACACUGACCUGAUUCUUUUAUAGCCAAGGAUAUGUAGGCAACCUCAGAAGCAAGGUUCGGUCAGGCUCCUUAAAAAAUGCUUCUCAUAGAGUUACAAAUGGGAAAAAAUCCCUCAUAAUUGCUCAUUUUGUCUUUGCCCGAAAGUCUGUCGUGUUUCCGAGCAAAGAGGGGCAGCUGUGAGCAUGUGGAUUUUGCCCUAUAUGAAAUACUCCUAUAAAAUCCCAAGAAAAUAGGUUUUCUGUUAAUUAUUUGCCAUUUUAGGAAUUUUUAUAGAAUUUUUUUAAUUAUUUGCAUUUCUGUGCAUGUUUAAUUUUUAUUUAAAUCAUGAAAAAAUACAAAAAUAUUAUGCAUUGCACUUAGGAUUUGUUUUUAUAUUUUUAGAAUUAAUCAGUAAUUAUUUGCUUUAUAAAAAUUUAAAAAUCACAAAAAAUAGCUCAUUUUUACAUUUCUGUCUUUUAAUUUUUAGUUUAUUGAUUUUUCUCUUUUAAUUUAGAAUUAAGUGAUGUUUAUAAUUUUUUAUAAUUAGUUAACUAGUUUAAUUUCAAAUUUUAGAUAAUUUAAGAUUUUUAAUUAUUGGGGUUUUUAAUUAAAAAAAGAGAGAUUAAAGAUAUAAUAAAAGAAAGAAGAAAAAAAUGAUUUUUAAAGUGGGUCUAGCAUACUUGGGUUGCACCUUUAAAACCUUCAGCCCAAACACUUCCCUUUACAGCCCCAGCCCAAAAAUUGGACCAAACCCGCCUAUUUUUGACCCGCCCGUCUCCCUCCAUACAUAAACCUUGUUAUAUCAUUUCUCACACCCAAACCCUAGAUCUAAAUAACAUUGAAACGGUGAUGUUCAUCAUUUUCCUCAUUGAGCUCGGUCCUCAACUCGCCAGGAACUCAGGCAAGUUCACUCAAAUGGGACCCCUCCCCUCCACGUCAUUUUAUUUCCAACAGUUUUUUGUCAGAGAGGAACGAAUAUUGUCUCCAAAUUUUGCACGAUUUUAGUACAAUAGAACGAUUUGCUGGAUGAAUGGGAGCCGUGGAUAGAUGUAAAUCGAUCCAUGCCUUCCAUCUGUCCCAAAAAUCAUUCAAAACAUGAAGAUUUUCGGAUAUUUGGGCAGAAAUUUUGAGAUUUUUUGAGGGUUAUAUAUAUGAGGUAUGUUUUCUUUUUCAAGGUUAAGGAAAAAUCAGAAAAAUCUAGGGAAAAUUUUAAAAACUUAGUGAUGGAAUUUCUAGGGUUUUGAAGUUUCUCCCUUCUCUCCACCCCUUUUUCUUUUUUAGUGAGGCAUUUUUUAGAAAACGAAAAAUAUACAAAAUCAUAGUGUGAGUUUUGGGUUUAGACAAAAAAAAUUGUUUCAUUUCGAAAGGGAUUAAAAUUUUACAAAUCUCAGCAUUUUCCUUGGAUCUUUGGUUUUUUCAAAAAUUGUUUAUGAUUGAGUUUGUGGCUGGGAUUUGGAAUUUGGGUGUUGUGGAUUCCUGUUCGAGUUUUUUUUGGCAGCAAUCUGGUCUUGGCUGAACUUUUUUGAGCUCCAGAUUAGUCGUGGAAACUCUUGCUGUUCAGAAAAUUAUUUUCUGAUUUUUCUUCGACUAUUGGAGACCAGCUGCUGUUUUCUUCUUGAUCUUGCUCGACCUUUAUUUUGUCUGAUUCUUUCUCUUAUUGUGUUUUCUAGGUAAACAUAUACUACCUCAUGUUGUUGGUUUUAUUGAUGUAUUAAAGAUUGUGAUGGGAUGACAUUAUUUUUUAUCCGGCAAGAUUGUGUUUAAGCUAGCUUGAAUGGUCAUUUGAUUUUAACAAUAGAAGAGUUAAAAAAUGUUCUUGGCUCUGUUGUGUUGUUUCGUGUUUUUAAAACUCACAGCUACACAUACACACUCAUUACAUUUAGUCAUUCAUAUUUUUCUAAGGUUAUUGUGUUGAUUUACUGAAGAGUGAGAUGAACUUGUAAAUUUAAGUUGGAUUUUUAAGCUGAUGAAUCUAGAUGAGGGGUUUAAAUUAUUUUACUUCCCUCAUCAAGACAUAACAGAAUAUGUGUGUGUGUUUGGUUUUAGGUUCGCUUAAUCACUUCUUCUCUCUUUCUUUAUCAACUAUCUCUCCUAUUAGAAUCCCUUCAUAUAUAAAAAGGAUCUUGUGUAAUUGUUCUGUUGCAUUUCUUCAUUUCUGUCCCAAACUAUAAUGCAGUCUAAUUUGAUAAAAAUGUAUGUUUAGAGCUGUUGGUAUUUGGAGUUUCCAUAAGAAGUGUACAUGCUAUCCUAUGCCUUUGUUGUCAUAGAUUCUUUUGGACAUUUUACAUGAGACGAGUUGAUCCUGAAUCUAGGUGUGUUCCUUAAAUAGAAAAGUAUCCAGGGGUUGUUUGGAUGUACGUGAUGUAUUAGGUUUUGUAAAAUUGGGUUUUUUUAUUUGGUUAGAUCUUUGCCUUGGCUAUUUCUUGUUUUAAAAGGUUCUGUAAGUUACCUAAAAUAGGUUCAGAAGCAAGAGUAUGUUUGAAUUCAUGUUUUAG
Molecule: long non-coding RNA, 20220 nt
Filed under: Nicotiana tabacum (common tobacco)
Lineage: Eukaryota; Viridiplantae; Streptophyta; Magnoliopsida; Solanales; Solanaceae
Description: long non-coding RNA (NTAB_LNC002599)
Source: RNAcentral